UAAAACUUCGUAUCGCAUGAUACAAGGUUAAAAGGCGCUACGGCGUCACCUAGAGAUGGAUCCGCGGUGCAUUAGUUAGUUGGUGGGGUAAAGGCCUGCCAAGACAAUGAUGCAUAGCCGAGUUGAGAGACUGAUCGGCCACAUUGGGACUGAGACACGGCCCAAACUCCUACGGGAAGCUGCAGUAGGGAAUCUUCCACAAUGGGCGAAAGCCUGAUGGAGCAACGCCGCGUGAGUGAAGAAGGUUUUCGGAUCGUAAAACUCUGUUGUUGGAGAAGAAUGUAUCUGAUAGUAACUGAUCAGGUAGUGACGGUAUCCAACCAGAAAGCCACGGCUAACUACGUGCCAGCAGCCGCGGUAAUACGUAGGUGGCAAGCGUUGUCCGGAUUUAUUGGGCGUAAAGCGAGCGCAGGCGGUUUCUUAAGUCUGAUGUGAAAGCCUUCGGCUCAACCGAAGAAGUGCAUCGGAAACUGGGAAACUUGAGUGCAGAAGAGGACAGUGGAACUCCAUGUGUAGCGGUGAAAUGCGUAGAUAUAUGGAAGAACACCAGUGGCGAAGGCGGCUGUCUGGUCUGUAACUGACGCUGAGGCUCGAAAGCAUGGGUAGCAAACAGGAUUAGAUACCCUGGUAGUCCAUGCCGUAAACGAUGAGUGCUAGGUGUUGGAGGGUUUCCGCCCUUCAGUGCCGCAGCUAACGCAUUAAGCACUCCGCCUGGGGAGUACGACCGCAAGGUUGAAACUCAAAGGAAUUGACGGGGGCCCGCACAAGCGGUGGAGCAUGUGGUUUAAUUCGAAGCAACGCGAAGAACCUUACCAGGUCUUGACAUCCUUUGACCACUCUAGAGAUAGAGCUUUCCCUUCGGGGACAAAGUGACAGGUGGUGCAUGGUUGUCGUCAGCUCGUGUCGUGAGAUGUUGGGUUAAGUCCCGCAACGAGCGCAACCCUUAUUACUAGUUGCCAGCAUUUAGUUGGGCACUCUAGUGAGACUGCCGGUGACAAACCGGAGGAAGGUGGGGACGACGUCAAAUCAUCAUGCCCCUUAUGACCUGGGCUACACACGUGCUACAAUGGAUGGUACAACGAGUUGCGAGACCGCGAGGUUUAGCUAAUCUCUUAAAACCAUUCUCAGUUCGGAUUGUAGGCUGCAACUCGCCUACAUGAAGCCGGAAUCGCUAGUAAUCGCGGAUCAGCAUGCCGCGGUGAAUACGUUCCCGGGCCUUGCACACACCGCCCGUCA
Molecule: ribosomal RNA, 1236 nt
Filed under: uncultured bacterium
Lineage: Bacteria
Description: bacterial SSU rRNA
Rfam family: Bacterial small subunit ribosomal RNA
Source: RNAcentral